AGCCUACUUAAUAAAUAAGUAAAUAAAUAAAUAUAGAUAGAUAGAUAGCUAUACAGAUACUAAAUUUCCUAGCCUCCUUUCCAGCUAUGUGGCUAAGUUUUGAUGAGAUAUAAGUAUGAUGGUGUAUCUGACUUCUAGAAAGUAUCCUUAAGGGAAAAGGCAUGGCUUCUUCCUUUCUACCUUCUUCAUGCUAGCUAAAGAGCACCUUUGGUGAUGUGAUAACUGGAGUUAGAGCAGCCAUCUUGAAACAUGAGAGUGAAGUCACACUUUGAGGACGGCAGAUGCAGCAGCCCAACUUCCAAGGCGUGUAGAAGCCAGCUGCCAUGUUGUAAGCACACUCAAGCAACCCUAUGGAGGAUGACUGGUGGUGAGAAGCUAAAGGCUUAUUGCCAACAGCUGGAACCAACCUGCAGUCCCAGUCAAGCUUUCAAAUGACCAGAGCUCCAUCUGAUAUCCUGACUGCAAUCUCAUGAUUCUCAAGCCAGAAGCACCCCGCUAAGUUACUCCUGAAUUCCUGAUGCACAGAAAGUGUGAGAUAAUAAAUGUUUAUUGUUGUUUUAA
Molecule: non-coding RNA, 561 nt
Organism: Callorhinus ursinus (northern fur seal)
Lineage: Eukaryota; Metazoa; Chordata; Mammalia; Carnivora; Otariidae
Source: RefSeq, a predicted model, not a curated record